GAUGAACGCUGGCGGCGUGCCUAAUACAUGCAAGUCGAGCGAACAGACGAGGAACUUGCUCCUCUGACGUUAGCGGCGGACGGGUGAGUAACACGUGGAUAACCUACCUAUAAGACUGGGAUAACUUCGGGAAACCGGAGCUAAUACCGGAUAAUAUAUUGAACCGCAUGGUUCAAUAGUGAAAGACGGUUUUGCUGUCACUUAUAGAUGGAUCCGCGCCGCAUUAGCUAGUUGGUAAGGUAACGGCUUACCAAGGCAACGAUGCGUAGCCGACCUGAGAGGGUGAUCGGCCACACUGGAACUGAGACACGGUCCAGACUCCUACGGGAGGCAGCAGUAGGGAAUCUUGCGCAAUGGGCGAAAGCCUGACGGAGCAACGCCGCGUGAGUGAUGAAGGUCUUCGGAUCGUAAAACUCUGUUAUUAGGGAAGAACAAAUGUGUAAGUAACUAUGCACGUCUUGACGGUACCUAAUCAGAAAGCCACGGCUAACUCCGUG
This 497-nucleotide ribosomal RNA is filed under the name uncultured bacterium. RNAcentral's name for it is "partial 16S ribosomal RNA". It matches the Rfam family "Bacterial small subunit ribosomal RNA", at positions 28 to 507 of the family's 1533-position model. The record is from RNAcentral.